CUCACCCUCUACUACGCGUUGCUCCAACGACAGUUUAUCUUACGCGCUUGCGUCUGCAUUUAUCUUGAUUCUGUGAACGGCACAGGAAUUGUAGAGACUCACUAACGUUAUUAAAGAAACAUAACAGAUGCAUCUGGUGCUCCUCAACGGAGACAGCUUGUCGCUGUUUCUCAUAAGUGUCGCUAAGGAAUACUGGAUUUCUACCUUACUUCUGUAUUCAAAAUACCUUAUUGACAUUGACUAUUGUCAGAUAAUCAGUGUUGUGAACGAUUACUUAUCGUUCAAAGUGCUUGAUUCGAUCUGUAUAGGAGUAAGCUAGACAUUGAGUAAGCAAUGGUAUUGGCAAAGCUCUAACGAAGGUGACGUGUAUCCAACUAAUCUGACGCAUGGGAAAACUUAGGACAAGCUUUGUUAUCGUAUUAUCAUAUUCAAUACCAAUGGUACCAUUGUUCAAUUUCAUCAAUAAGGGGGCCAAGGAGUCAACGAGGAGUUACUCACUAUCUUUAGAGUGAUCGAGAUUUCCAAUUGAAUCGACUGGUCGAGAGUACAUCGAGCGACUGAUCAAGAUCGAUUCCUAAUGACUGGGACGCAUCUCGAGCCAGGAAGUGUCUCAGUCGCUGCCAAGUAUUUCCCGCUGGCGUUUCAAGGCUUUUUCUUCUAUGCACGUUUGUAUUUACGAGGAGUACGAGUAAACCUGAUGCGUGAAAAUUCUUUCCCAUUACAAUACUCUGGUACUAAAGUUAGAACUUUGUCAAAGGAAUCUAUCCUCAUACCUGGGCAUCAUUUUAAUUAACGAAAAAAAACGAUGGACGACUUUGCUGACCGGAUAUCAACUUGUUUACCUACUGUCAAUAAUGCGAUCAUGCUAGAAGAACGUAAGCGACUCCUGCUAAAUAUUUACAACGACAUUUCUAAUUGUGACGUAGUGGGAUUAGGCUGGUCUUGAUUAACGAGUUCCCCACCCGUACGUUAAUUAAUCUUUAAUUGGCGUUACGCACUCGGAAAUAUCAAUGAAAGAGACGUGCGUGGCUUCGUAGGAAAAAAGCAAGAGAAGAGAAAAUAGUUCACGUGCAGAGUUAACAUUCUGGAAAGGCCAUAUUCGUAUCAGUGUUUGAGAAUCAAGGAAAAUGAUAUUUAUAUUUUACUUGUUGAACGAUUCUCAUAAAUCGUAUCGAUGAACUACCUUCGGUGCUUCAUCAAGAUAAGCGACGGAGAGUGAUGAAGGGAGCAAGAGAAGAAAUAAAUGUAGAACCGAACCAUCGGAAAUUAAAGCCUUGUAACGACGUAUGUCAGAGGCCACGUCCUGAUAAAAUCGAUCCUUGACGAGAUUCAAGGCUCCACGAUAAACAGGGAAAAGAAUUUGGCUGCCACAAAUACCAGAUUGUUUGACUUUUUAAUGAAAAUCUGCCUUCUUGACUGAUAUCAAUGGAAAUCGAUGCCGCAAAAUGUGUAUCGUAGAAUGGCAAAAAAAUGGAUUAAUGAAAUUAGAGGGAGUUGAGGUGUAAUGAAUUCAGAGAACGAGGUGCGUGUCAGAAGCAGUUCGUGAGCAGGAGCCGCAUGCAGAUUAAUGCAAAAGGUCUUAGACUUUGUGAAGAAACCAUCAAAAUCAAAAUGUAUCGAAUCAACGCCUAAAAGGAAUACAAGAUGAUAAGAAGAGUCAAGGAGUUCAAAGGUCCAAAAUGAUUUGAUAACCCCGUUUGAGAACCUACGUAAGCACGGAUCCAAUAUACGUGGUGUGGAAAGGAAAUUAAGACUAAAUAAACGCGGAUUAAUUUACAUCACGAGACGAUGACGUGAAAUACGAAAGACAAAAGGUAAAGUUUACACCAAACUAAUCUCAGUCACACGUAGAGAACACUCACCGUCAACGGGAUUGCCGCCUUCUUCUUCGAAUGUGGUUCGAUCGAUUUUAUCACAGGGAACAACAGUGCACUUCUCUCUUAG
Long non-coding RNA from Cephus cinctus (wheat stem sawfly), 1944 nucleotides. RefSeq lists it as uncharacterized. The transcript has 8 exons. The record is from RefSeq and is a predicted model, not a curated record. Lineage: Eukaryota; Metazoa; Arthropoda; Insecta; Hymenoptera; Cephidae.